GUCGUGAGAUGUCGGGUUAAGUCCCAUAACGAGCGAAACCCCUGUUUCCAGUUGCCAGCGAGUAAUGUCGGGGACUCUGGAAAGACUGCCGGUGUUAAACCGGAGGAAGGUGGGGAUGACGUCAAGUCCUCAUGGCCUUUACGUCCAGGGCUGCACACGUGCUACAAUGGCGUAUACAGAGGGAAGCCAACGCGCGAGCGGGAGCAAAUCUCAAAAAAUACGCCCCAGUUCAGAUCGAAGGCCGCAACUCGCCUUCGUGAAGUUGGAAUCGCUAGUAAUCGCGGGUCAGCAACACCGCGGUGAAUGUGUUCCUGAGCCUUGUACACACCGCCCGUCAAGCCACGAAAAUGCGGGGCGUCCGAAGUCGCUGAGCCAACCGUAAGGGGGCAGGCGCCGACGACGAACUGCGUAAUUGGGACUAAGUCGUAACAAGGGAAACCGUAGGGGAACCUUUU
RNAcentral lists this ribosomal RNA (455 nucleotides) under uncultured Planctomycetota bacterium. RNAcentral's name for it is "bacterial SSU rRNA". It matches the Rfam family "Bacterial small subunit ribosomal RNA", at positions 1064 to 1516 of the family's 1533-position model. The record is from RNAcentral. Lineage: Bacteria; Pseudomonadati; Planctomycetota.